UAGAUUAAUGUAGGUAAGGGAAGUCGGCAAAUUAGAUCCGUAACUUCGGGAUAAGGAUUGGCUCUGAAGACUGGGAUGACUCAGGCUAUACCCUCCCGGGUGCACUCCCCGUCCGGCGGUCCGUUCGCGCGGGCUGCCGCGGGGCCCCGGGGUCCGGGGUUUGCCUCAACGCGUGCCCCCGCGGUCGGCUCGGGUCCGGCUCGCGCCGGCCUCUGGCCGCGGGACCGCUGCAGUCAUCAAUAAACAGUCAAUUCAGACUGUCAAUAAACAGUCAAUCCGACUGUCUAAUUAAAACAAAGCAUUGUUAUGGCUUUAAAAAGUGUUGACACAAUGUGAUUUCUGCCCAGUGCUCUGAAUGUCAACGUGAAGAAAUUCAAGCAAGCGCGGGUAAACGGCGGGAGUAACUAUGACUCUCUUAAGGUAGCCAAAUGCCUCGUCAUCUCAUUAGUGACGCGCAUGAAUGGAUUAACGAGAUUCCCUCUGUCCCUAUCUACUAUCUAGCGAAACCACAGCCAAGGGAACGGGCUUGG
Molecule: non-coding RNA, 530 nt
Filed under: Aedes aegypti (yellow fever mosquito)
Lineage: Eukaryota; Metazoa; Arthropoda; Insecta; Diptera; Culicidae
Description: Eukaryotic large subunit ribosomal RNA
Rfam family: Eukaryotic large subunit ribosomal RNA
Source: Rfam by way of RNAcentral